UUAGAAGGUAAUUAGGUCAUAAUGGUGGAGCCCGCACGAAUGGGCCAAAAAACUAGGUGGCUCUAUUCCCACCAUGUGAGGGCACAUGUAAAUCAAGAAGAGGACACUUGCAAAGAACCACACUAUGUGGGCACCCUGAUUUCGGACUUCUAAUCUCCAGGACUGUGAGAAAUAAAUGUUUGCUGUUUAUGCCACCCAAGUCCAAGUUCUGAAGGCUAGAAGUCCAAGAUCAAGGUGCCAACAGGUUGCUUUUGGUGAGGGUUCUCCUGGCUUGCAGUCACCCUCUUGCUGUCCUCAAGUGGCCUUUCCUCUGUGCACAUGUGCUGUUCCAGUAUCUGAACUUCUGCUCUACUAUCAUCAAUGAUGGAAAGAAGCUACAAAGGAAGAGGUUAAAUUGAAAGGCUCCCAAUGACGUAACCAGAGAUGGACUUUACAGUAACAUGAGUGGACAAUACACGCUUUUCUGAGAACCUACAAGUUCAAGUUCAACAGCAUGACACUAAUAAAAAAAAAAACAAACUACUUGAUGAUCUAUCAGUAGCAAGACUGCCAUUCUCUAUUGGACCAGGCUCCCACCUGACUUCCUGGAAGUGUGCUAGGAUUUAAGAACGGUAAUUCUAGCCCCAGGUAACACGGAGCCAAAGCAGGUAACACAGCUUAGAGCUGAGCUUGCUGAAAGUCCAGAGGGCACCGCUGCAAGGUUACAGGCAGCACUGCAUGCCCACAUGCUGCGUUUCAACCCGUGUUCCACAGCAGCAAACCCAAAACAGGCCCCAAGUGAACUGGGAAAGAACAACUCAAACAUUCAAAACACUUUCUGAAAAUUAGUUUGCAUUAUGACUUCUUCUAAAAUGUUCAGCCCUGAGUAAGCAAGGAAGGUCACAGGAUUUUGUUCCGAUUAUACUCAGGAAAUCCUUUUGCUAAAAUUUGAAAAAUGUGAAAACUCACAAAUGGUCAACCAUGCAAAUUUCACUUUGCCUCUUCUCUCCUUAACAUCUCUACAUGAUCGGAGACAGCUAAGUCAACUGGUUGCACUGAACCAGAGCCAACAAGACUGCAGACACAGCAACCUCAGAAGGGUUUACACUGCAGGAAGGGGGAGCAGUGAGCCGCAGGUACAGGGUGCUCCUACAAGUCCACUGCUGCUGCCAGCCUCCUCGCCUCACUCAUGCCCCAGGUGCUGCUUCAGAUCACUGCGUUACCAUUACCACUUCUCAGAAGAGGGGUGCUUCGGAAUGAGAUUUUUUGGAAAAGAGAAAAAGGAGAACAGAAGGUACCAACAGGAUCGAAGCUUCAAAGGCAUAGAGAGCACCCAAAAAAGAUAUAGGACCCAGCAAUAUAAGUCAUCAACUGGUAUACAAGCCAUACCAGGAAGGUAGGGAGAAAUGUAUCAAAAAUGGAAAAAUAUGAUAAAAUCAAAAGAAUGAAUGAAACAGAAUUGCUGAGACCGUUAAAACACACCAGGCCAACUCAGCCAGCGCCUUUAUCUACUUCUAUCAGAAAUCUCUGCCAGAAAGGAAAGAGCAGGGUUGUCCCAGGUCAGCGGACAAGGUUUUUUGGAGCCUAUUACAGAGCUUGGCACAUGGUAAGUACUUAAUAUUUGCUGAAUAAAUGAAUAGCAGAUCGAUGUUUGUACUUCAUUUUCUGCUCUGAUUUACUUACAGCUGUUAGCUCAUGGAAAGCAAUGUGAUUUUUCUUUUCUUUAUAGGAGAUUUUUAUACGGAAAAAGACACAUCAGCAGGUAGGGAAGGCAGCUCAUGGACCUUCUGUAGCCACUAGAAAUGAAUCCACAAAACAAAAACAAAAAAUCUGCCCAAAGGGAACUUUGAUAUUCAAGCAGUAAGUUUUAGACCCAAGUAAACAUCUUGCUUCUUCGAACACCCACUACUUGUAGAUUUUAGGGACAUGAAGAGAAGGUCAGGGCAGAUGCUCUGGAAUAUCACAUAGCCUGCUGCCAAUUUCUCAGCAUUUUUCCAACAUAACUUUGUUAGAAAAUAAUAUAAAAAGGCAGCAAUCAUCUCCUAGCGUGGUCUGUGCCAUUCACACCUAGAUUGCCCCUUCCCUUGGUGCACUAUGACUCAAUCUAUACUAUGCCUAUCAUAUAACUUCUUGGAAAGUAAGAGUUUUCAAAAAUCUACAUUAAAAAAUGUAAAUUUUCAUAUACAGAAAAAAGUAGUCCCAUUGGCCCUUAACUAAUAAUCUCCUGAAGGCCAAACAAAAGCAGGUAUAGCUGCUUCUGUUUUACAUUUUCUACUUCCUUUGCCCACAGACCAACUAGCCAUAGGAAGAACCAAGCAGCUCCAUUCUAUAAUUCACUUAUUCUUAGCAAAGAUCUGAGAACAGAAGGCCAGAGAAACAGGGAGCAGCUGCCGCCUGAUCUUCUUAUUAAUGCCCUGGGCUCAUUCCCCAUCCUCCUCCUAAUUGUUUCAAACUCCUUUUCGCAACAACCUCUAAGCACCAGCUCAUGGGAAGAAAUAACAAGGAAAAGCUGCCUUCUCUGUGUCAACACCCACUGUGGUAGAACCGUCUACAUCACAUCUGAGAUGAUGUAAUUAGAAAUUAAAAUAGGCGAGCCUUACAUUCCAUUUUCAAUUGUUAAUCUGCUUUACUUUGGAUUCCAACUAAUGAAACUCCUUACAUGUGGCCCUACAGUGAUGCCUAUAGGCACUGCAGGGUUUGGGGGCGGUUUUGGGGCGGGGGGUGUUUUGUUUGUUUUAAUUACACAAUUUCCAUCUCUUGAGUCAAACAACAAUCUUGGUCUUGCUACUUAAGCCAACAGAUAUAUAAAAUAAUGGUUGCUGAUGAAUUAGUCAUCAGAUAUUCAGAUUCCAAGACCCAAAGAAUCUAAGUUAUUAUAGCCAAAAAGCUCAGUUUCUGCAACACUCAAUGCUAACUUUUAAGGACAAAAAAGCAGCAUGGUGGUUAAGAAAAUUGGACUUAGCUGAAAUCUCAGCUCUGCCACUUACUUAUUAGCUGUGAGAUCUUGAGUACAUUUCUUAACCCCUGCAGACUUUCAGAGACAAUGACAGGACUGACCUCAUAGGUUGUCAUCAGGACUAGGGGAGAUAGUCCACAUAAGAACUCAAUAAAUAUCAGCUGUGACUGUAACAAUGAAUGCCCCAUGCCUGAAAAAUAUCACUUAAAAUAAGAGUUUUCCAAAAGUUAGGACUUAAGAUGAAACUUAACAGGAAAAUGCUGCUUCUCUUAAGACCCACAUGACAAUACUAUGUAAGUAAAGAGGCCCAGCCCAGGUCAAAAUGUUAAUUUUUCCACUUACUCUAACUCCAAGAAUAUUCUUUUAAAAAUAUCCAUCAACUUGUACAAAUUAUUCUGAUUCAUCUCACUAAUUUAUGGUCUGAAAAGAGGGAGUUUCAAACCAGAGGGCUGUUCGCUGUAAAGCAAGCCCCAAGGAGAGGUCAGCCCUGGCCACAGCCUGGCAGUCUCAUGGAGGAAGGAGAAAGGAGCUGGCGGAUCCAUCACCCCACAGGUGUCACCAAGAGAGAAAAUGCUGGGCCACCUCUGUGCCCUGAAGUGUCAACAAAGUCCCUGCCCACUCGGCACCAGCUGGGCCCCAGUUUGUUGACCUUCUGGGCACAGUGAAAAAUCAUUCAUUAAAUAGGGCAAAAAGUACUGCAGGGACAUGUGCUAUUUUUAUAUAAAUAACACAAGCAAAGAUUAUUAAUGUUAAGAGCUGCACAUUAUUUGCAAAUGAGACAUGGAAAUUUGGUAAUUUGGAUUUAAGAAUAACUUGUUAACUACAUGCUGCAAAUUAUCCUUUUCCUCCAUUGUAAACUACAAUAGCUACUACAGCUAACACUACUUAAUUUGGAACUUGUGAAAAAUUGUCUUUGGAAGAUGGUCAUGUAACUCGGAAAGGCUCUUUCAAAAAAAUAAUUCCACCACUUCAAUUCCUUCCAGCAAAUCUCUGAGUCUGUAUACAAUAUCACAGUCAAUACAAGCUGUCAAGACAGGGAUACUCUGAAUAAAUGCUCUGGAGGAUUUCAUCUGGAUCCUGUACUUCCCUAAAAUAAAGCCAGGCUGGUUUUUACUGUAAAAGAACUAGGAAGAACAGGCAGAAUUCAAGGUGAAAUACCUCCACUCCUACCAAGGGAAGCCAAGGACAACCAUCCGGGAAGAACCCCCAAAUGUUGAGAACCAUGACAACAGUGGUGAUUCAAGAUUAGAAAAGACCCCCCAGCCUUCUAUAAGCUGAUUCACAAAGUACAGUACAUGGAUUUUGGUCAUCAGAUUAUUUUUCAAAGUCUGCCUAACCCUCAAUCAUGUCUGAAUUCAUUUCUAAAAAUUGAGAACGAUCAUUAUCCAUAACUUACCUCCUACUCCAACCCAAACCCAAAGAUAUGCUCAUUUUGUAAUUGCCAAAUGACAUU
Molecule: non-coding RNA, 4388 nt
Organism: Microcebus murinus (gray mouse lemur)
Lineage: Eukaryota; Metazoa; Chordata; Mammalia; Primates; Cheirogaleidae
Source: RefSeq, a predicted model, not a curated record